UCCACAGCCGCCUCCUUCUCCCUUUCCCCAGCUCCCUGCUCCCUGCCCGCGGCUCGGGGAAGGGGAUGUUUGUCAGACAGGCGGCGGGACGGACACAGCGUGUUAGCAGAGGGGGUGGUGCGUCGGACCGGGAGGGCGGAGGUGACAAAGCGGGGACUCUGGCCGUGUCCUGAGGAGCCUGCUCCUGCCUUCCCGCAAGGAUCCGUGCCAGGUCCCCUCGGCCACCUGCUGCUGGUAAGGGGCUCCCUGGAGGUCGCCGAGGUCGCCAAGAGAACACGUGUAUCUAGUCUAUGUCAUACUGCUUAUGCCGCAGAUCCUAUUGAGGAAAACUGACAUAGUACCAUAAAUUUUUUCUCCUGCACAGAUAAAGAGCAGGUCGUAUUGUAGCACAGCUGGAACAGGGGUAGUUCCCAGGUUAAACUGCGCUCCUACAGAGGACGAGGUGAAGCACAAGAUCUGCCCACUCUGCAUCUGUGCUGCCUUGGUAAACACAGGCAUGCAAAGAGGUUUUCAUUGCAGACCCUGUGGUUCACGAGGAACAGCAGCAAUAGAUUGUGGUUUCUCUGGCAGAUGAAGAGGCUCAGUUUAGUAAUAGCAAGCCAUGUAAAGCUGCCUUUGUAUUUUCCUGGUUGCACCAUCAAGACUCUUUUCCCACCCCCAAGCCUUUAGCCCAGAUAUGAAUAUUACAUAGUGGUCACAACUGAACAAUUCUCUGCUCCUGAGAAGCUUUUUUUUUAAAUCUUCUAUGCACCCAUGAAAGGCAAGUGACCCAUUAAAAUCUCACAGUGCUGUCGUUAAUAUCUAAGAAAAGUAAUUAUUCUGUACUCCUGGAGUGACCAAGUAGUAAUU
Long non-coding RNA from Passer montanus (Eurasian tree sparrow), 849 nucleotides. RefSeq lists it as uncharacterized. The record is from RefSeq and is a predicted model, not a curated record. Lineage: Eukaryota; Metazoa; Chordata; Aves; Passeriformes; Passeridae. The transcript has 3 exons.